RNAcentral lists this ribosomal RNA (238 nucleotides) under uncultured bacterium. Its description in RNAcentral is "partial 16S ribosomal RNA". It matches the Rfam family "Bacterial small subunit ribosomal RNA", at positions 96 to 334 of the family's 1533-position model. The record is from RNAcentral.
CGGCGGACGGGUGAGUAACGCGUGGGUAACCUGCCUCAUACAGGGGGAUAACAGUUAGAAAUGACUGCUAAUACCGCAUAAGACCACAGGAUCGCAUGAUCCGGUGGUAAAAACUCCGGUGGUAUGAGAUGGACCCGCGUCUGAUUAGCUAGUUGGUGGGGUAACGGCUCACCAAGGCGACGAUCAGUAGCCGACCUGAGAGGGUGACCGGCCACAUUGGGACUGAGACACGGCCCAA